CCUACGGGUGGCAGCAGUGAGGAAUAUUGGUCAAUGGACGCAAGUCUGAACCAGCCAUGCCGCGUGCAGGAAGACGGCCCUAUGAGUUGUAAACUGCUUUUGUACGAGGGUAAACGCAGAUACGCGUAUCUUUCUGAAAGUAUCGUACGAAUAAGGAUCGGCUAACUCCGUGCCAGCAGCCGCGGUAAUACGGAGGAUUCAAGCGUUAUCCGGAUUUAUUGGGUUUAAAGGGUGCGUAGGCGGUCGGAUAAGUUAGAGGUGAAAUCCCGAGGCUCAACUUUGGAAUUGCCUCUGAUACUGUUCGGCUAGAGAAUAGUUGCGGUAGGUGGAAUGUGUGGUGUAGCGGUGAAAUGCUUAGAGAUCAUACAGAACACCGAUUGCGAAGGCAGCUUACCAAGCUACUUCUGACAUUGAGGCACGAAAGCGUGGGGAGCAAACAGGAUUAGAUACCCUUGUAGUC
This 460-nucleotide ribosomal RNA is filed under the name uncultured bacterium. Its description in RNAcentral is "partial 16S ribosomal RNA". It matches the Rfam family "Bacterial small subunit ribosomal RNA", at positions 338 to 795 of the family's 1533-position model. The record is from RNAcentral.